This 1239-nucleotide long non-coding RNA is filed under the name Equus asinus (donkey). Its description in RNAcentral is "lncRNA (ENSEASG00005029200.1)". The record is from RNAcentral. Lineage: Eukaryota; Metazoa; Chordata; Mammalia; Perissodactyla; Equidae.
CCUUUCUGCUUUGUCAUCCGGAUCCAGUUCCACGCUUCACCUUUGGUUUUGAAGACUGGGAGACUUAAAGGAAUCUUUGACUUUGGGUACUCUCUACAGACUUGGCUCAUAGUCAGCUUCAGGCUCCUCCUGUGUAUAGUACCUCUGAGCACAAUACAUUGUCCCUUUUAGUUUCAGCUCCCAAGAGCCAAACUUGCCAUUAGCAUCCAGGCAGGGCCCACUUGGUUCCUCACUGAGGAGUGUUAGGCAACUACGGAGCUGGUAGGUUUGUCUUUUUGUUCCAGGUACAGAGUUGUUUAUCUGUCUAGAAAAGGCCAGGCAUUGGUCUUUUUGACGUGAAAAAAGUUCAAGCCAGAAAACGGGCAAGCUGCUGUGAGCAUGUAACAUCUGUGAUGUCACAAACGUCUGUUUACAGACAGAGAAUGUGGACUCAUUUUCUAAGCCCUUGAAGUGUCUAGGACAGCAGGCUGCAUGGCAAAGCAGGGAGAUACAUCUGCUGAAUUGAAUUCAGUAUACUCAAAAUUCAGAUAUUCCAUUUUGCCAAGAGAUGGCGGAUGUGAGCAUAUCUCUUCAGUUCAGACCAUAUUUACAUCGUUUAGCUAUGACAUGGGCCUGGAGUUUUCUCUGCUCAAUUCAGGCAUAACAAUCAGCUAGAUUGAAACUCAUUGUUUGCAUGCCAUUCAGAGAGGAUAAGUAGUUAAGAAGACCCUACACUGACAUCUGUCAAGGGUAUGCCAUUUCACCAUGUGACACAUAGAGUAAGCCCAUGGCAGUUUGAAAGGCAGAUGCAAUGUUCUCUGCUCUGCGAUCCCUGCUGUCAAGAGUCUGCUGUAAGUGAUUUUCAGACCAUCAGCCUCAGCAUCUCCUGGGAACAUGCCAUAAAUGAGUUCUGAGGUCCUGCUCCAGAUCUGGGAUAAGAAAUCUGAAGUACAAUGAGGUUGAGAGACUUGCUCAAGUCCACACAUGCGUUAUGUGAUAGAGGCAGGAUUUGAAUCCAGGCAGUCUGUCUGCAGAGGCCCCAUUCAACAUCAUAGCCACGUGUUGUAUAGGGCAUUUUGAUGAGUGAAAAAGAGAAGAUGCUAUUUUGCUGCACUUAUUCACAUACACCGUGCAUCGCCAGCUUCCAGCACUGGAAAACUGCAGGCUCUUCCUCAAACCCACUACAGCAUAAUCCCCUGAUAGGCGUGGAACAGAGCUAAAAAUUUGUCAAUCUGAAAGGUAUAUUUUUAAAAAAUCAUG